UACGUAGGUGACCAGCGUUGUCCGGAUUUACUGGGCGUAAAGAGCGCGCAGGCGGUCGUUCAAGUCGAGUGUGAAAGCCCCCGGCUCAACUGGGGAAGGUCAUUCGAUACUGUUCGGCUCGAAGAUAGGAGAGGGAAGCGGAAUUUCAGGUGUAGUGGUGAAAUGCGUAGAUAUCUGAAGGAACACCAGUGGCGAAGGCGGCUUUCUGGCCUAUUCUUGACGCUGAGGCGCGAAAGCUAGGGGAGCGAACGGG
This 253-nucleotide ribosomal RNA is filed under the name uncultured bacterium. RNAcentral describes it as "partial 16S ribosomal RNA". It matches the Rfam family "Bacterial small subunit ribosomal RNA", at positions 524 to 776 of the family's 1533-position model. The record is from RNAcentral.